AAGUCGUAACAAGGUUUCCGUAGGUGAACCUGCGGAAGGAUCAUUAGUGAAUGAGGCUUUCGAGCUUCAACCCACUGCCAUUGCACUUUGGCUGUGCGCCUCUCCUCGCAGAGGCUUGCACGCCGAUUUGCAUUGAUUCUCACACCUGUGCACCCUUCGAGAUGUGGACUACGGGAGAAUUUUUUUUUCUGCCUGCAAGUCCCGUCUCGCCUUUUACCAAACCACUGUCACGAAUGUACAAAACCUAUAACUUAUACAACUUUCAACAACGGAUCUCUUGGCUCUCGCAUCGAUGAAGAACGCAGCGAAAUGCGAUAAGUAAUGUGAAUUGCAGAAUUCAGUGAAUCAUCGAAUCUUUGAACGCACCUUGCGCUCCUUGGUAUUCCGAGGAGCAUGCCUGUUUGAGUGUCACGUGAAACCCUCACCCCUGCGAUGUCAAAGUCGUGGACGGUGGAUUUGGACGCUGCCGUUGUUGGCUCGUCUCGAAAUGCAUUAGCCGUGCGCGUCGUGCCAGUGCCUCUCGGUGUGAUAAUUAUCUACGCCGCUCAGAGUGCCCGUGCCCAAGACCGUGGCUCAUAGCCGUCUUCGGACAAUUUUCUUAACGCUCUGGCCUCAAAUCAGGUAGGACUACCCGCUGAACUUAAGCAUAUCAAUAAGCGGAGGAAAAGAAACUAACAAGGAUUCCCCUAGUAACGGCGAGUGAAGCGGGAAGAGCUCAAAUUUGAAAUCUGGCGGUCUACGGCCGUCCGAGUUGUAGUCUAGAGAGGUGUUUUCCGCGUCGGACCGUGUACAAGUCCCUUGGGAUAGGGCGUCAUAGAGGGUGAGAAUCCCGUCCAUGACACGGACUGCCGAUGCUUUGUGAUGCGCCUUCAAAGAGUCGAGUUGUUUGGGAAUGCAGCUCAAAAUGGGUGGUAAAUUCCAUCUAAAGCUAAAUACAGGCGAGAGACCGAUAGCGAACAAGUACCGUGAGGGAAAGAUGAAAAGCACUUUGGUAAGAGAGUUAAACAGUACGUGAAAUUGUUGAAAGGGAAACGCUUGGAGUCAGUCGCGUCGGCCGAGACUCAGCCUUGCUUCUGCUUGGUGCACUUCUCGGUUGAUGGGCCAGCGUCAAUUUCGACUGCCGGAGAAGGAUCGGGGGAAGGUGGCACCUUUCGGUGUGUUAUAGCCCCCGGUUGUACACGGUGGUUGGGAUUGAGGAUCGCAGCACGCCUUUUGGUCGGGGUUCGCCCACGCCACGUGCUUAGGAUGCUGGCGUAAUGGCUUUAAACGACC
RNAcentral lists this ribosomal RNA (1272 nucleotides) under uncultured fungus. Its description in RNAcentral is "eukaryotic LSU rRNA". The stretch from base 608 to 1272 matches the Rfam family "Eukaryotic large subunit ribosomal RNA", at positions 1 to 649 of the family's 3401-position model. The record is from RNAcentral. Lineage: Eukaryota; Fungi.